RNAcentral lists this long non-coding RNA (629 nucleotides) under Nicotiana tabacum (common tobacco). RNAcentral describes it as "long non-coding RNA (NTAB_LNC012228)". Lineage: Eukaryota; Viridiplantae; Streptophyta; Magnoliopsida; Solanales; Solanaceae. The record is from RNAcentral.
AAAAAAAAAAAAAAAAAAGAAAUCCAGGGGAACGAGGGUUUAGGAGGGGGAGUGGUGACGGAGAAGAAAUGAACGCUAAAGAAGGUGAAUGAACUUGUAUAACUUCAUAAAUGGUUCCUAAUUGUUGUAUUUUUCUUUUCUUUUAUUAAUAAAAAACUAGCCCUAUGCGCUUUCUAGUGGAUUGCAAAAAAAAAAAAGAGGGUUUAAGAGGGUGAGUGGUGACGGAGAAGAAAUGAACGCUAAAGAAGGUGAAUGAACUUGUAUAACUUCAUAAAUGGUUCCCCGGCAAGAAAUGAGGGCUGAUCGACCACACCAAUGUCAAUGUUUCACGUCUGGAAUUGAUGGUCCAUUCUAUAAUUCUGGCUUUCCAAUGGCAAUCACCCUAACAACGCCCUCCCAUCGAUCACGCCAUCCCAGCUGAGAGUAGAACAUGUUUGAUACCUCAGAUCUUUUCUCUUAUUGAUACCAAAGAAGAAAAGAUGCUAGGUGGAGUUACCUAAUACUUGUGUUGCUGAGAGGUAAAAUAGUCGAGAUGUGUGACAAAUUAUCAUUUUAAAACAAGGAACCCCAAAAACAAAGAGGCAGAAGUUUCCCCUCUUGAUCCAAAGAGUAAUUCACAAGUAUAUAGG